Molecule: long non-coding RNA, 239 nt
Organism: Homarus americanus (American lobster)
Lineage: Eukaryota; Metazoa; Arthropoda; Malacostraca; Decapoda; Nephropidae
Exons: 4
Source: RefSeq, a predicted model, not a curated record
AAGUGAGGUGUGUCUGUAGUAGAGGAAGACAGUGAGGUGUGUCUGUAGUAGAGGAAGACAGUGAGGUGUGUCUGUAGAGAGGAAGACAGUGAGGUGUGUCUGUAGUAGAGGAAGACAGGAGGUGUGUCUGUAGUAGAGGAAGACAGUGAGGUGUGUCUGUAGUAGAGGAAGACAGUGAGGUGUGUCUGUAGUAGAGGAAGACAGUGAAGGGUGUCUGUAGUAGAGGAAGACAGUGAGGU